This 253-nucleotide ribosomal RNA is filed under the name uncultured bacterium. Its description in RNAcentral is "partial 16S ribosomal RNA". It matches the Rfam family "Bacterial small subunit ribosomal RNA", at positions 524 to 776 of the family's 1533-position model. The record is from RNAcentral.
UACAGAGGGGCCGAGCGUUAGGCGGAAUCACUGGGCUUAAAGCGUGUGUAGGCGGAUGCCUAAGUACCUUGUGAAAUCCCACGGCUUAACCGUGGAACUGCUCGGUAUACUGGGUGUCUUGAGCCACUUAGGGGCGACCGGAACAAACGGUGGAGCGGUGAAAUGCGUAGAUAUCGUUUGGAACGCCAAUGGUGAAAACAGGUCGCUGGGAGUGUGCUGACGCUGAGACACGAAAGCCAGGGGAGCGAACGGG